GUAGGGAAUAUUGGGCAAUGGAUGCAAGUCUGACCCAGCCAUCCCGCGUGCCGGAAGAAGGCCCUCAGGGUUGUAAACGGCUUUUGACGGUGAAGAACCGACAGGAUGCGUCCUGUUUUGACGGUAGCCGUUGAAUAAGCACCGGCUAACUCCGUGCCAGCAGCCGCGGUAAUACGGAGGGUGCGAGCGUUGUCCGGAUUUAUUGGGUUUAAAGGGUGCGUAGGCUGGAAGGUCAGUCAGCGGUGAAAAGCUAUCGCUUAACGAUAGUCUUGCCGCAGAUACUUCCUUUCGUGGAUGAGGAGGAGGCCACUGGAACGGAUGGUGUAGCGGUGAAAUGCAUAGAUAUCAUCCAGAACACCGAUUGCGAAGGCAGGUGGCUGUACCUUAAUCGACGCUGAUGCACGAAAGCAUGGGGAGCAAACAGGAUUAGAAACCCGAGUAGUCC
Molecule: ribosomal RNA, 445 nt
Filed under: uncultured bacterium
Lineage: Bacteria
Description: partial 16S ribosomal RNA
Rfam family: Bacterial small subunit ribosomal RNA
Source: RNAcentral